AUGCCAAAUUUCUUCUUUUAUGUUUCAAAAGUACAUUUAUGUUACCUUUAUAUUUGAGAACAGAAGUAAACUGUACUGUUCUGAAAAGUAUAGACUAUUAAUAGAAAAGUUAGAGAGGGAAGAAGAGAACAGAAGAGAAAGUCUUAAAAUAUCUCCACCAGAGUUUGUAAAAAUCUCAUUAGAUUCUAAAAAAUUUGAAAUAAAACAUAGCUAUCCUAUCGUUGCUGUCGAAUUAGUAGACUGACAAAGAGCAGCGAGGAAGACGGAGAAGAAAGAGAAAGUAGCAAAGAGCAGCACCGGCAACCGGGGGGAGAGGGAUUUCAGCAAUCCUACUUGUAGCAUAGUUUAGAUCCCUAGCAUAGAUUAGGUAACAUGGGAUCAAACUUAAUGGCAAUCGUUGGAUCGGCGAGCGUCGCAACCGGGGCGAUUGGAUCGGCCAAGUAGGAUAGGUGUAGGAGGCCCUAAUCAUGACGCCUAGCGAUGGACAUCGCAGGCAUUAGAGGAGAGGAUGGAGGUGAGAGAGGGAGGGGAAGAGAGAGUGAAAGCGAAGCUUUGGGUAGCGGAGGAGGCAUGCGCGGGCAAGGAAUGCGCGGAAGGGAGGGAAAGGAGUUGAUUCCACCACAGCUAUCUGAUCAAAAAAAUGAAGGAUGAAGAUUGAGCGUCUCUUGGGAAAGGGAAGUGGCAUGUUUCGGAGUAGGAAGAAAGAGAGUUGGCUGUUCUACACCGUUGAAUCUGUAAUCAACAGGGGCAGUAGAGGGGGCAAUGAGGACAUGCCACAUGGCUGAAUAGGAGUGUCAAAUAAAUAGAUUGUAUAGACUAGCAUAGAUUAGGUAGCAUGGGAUCCAACUUAAUGGCAACCGUUGGAUCGGCGAGCGUCGCAAUCGAGGCGAUUGGAUCAACCAAGGAGGGUAGGUGUAGGAGGCCUAAUCAUGAUGCCUAAGGAUGGACAUUGCAGGCAUUAGAGAAGAAGAGGAGGGAGGAGAGGAUGGAGGUGAGAGAGGAAGAAAGAGAGAGGGAAAGAAAGAGAGAAAGCGGCGCUUUGGGCAGCGGAGGAGGCAUGCGCUGGGCAAGGAACGCGCAGAGGGGAGGGGAAGGAGUUGAUUCCACCACAGCCAUCCGAUCAAAAAAAUGGAGUGUGAAGAUUGAGCGUCUUUUGGGAAAGGGAAAAGGCAUGUUUCGGAGUGGAAAGAAAGAGAGUUGGUUGAUCUACACCGUUGAAUCUGUAAUCAAGAGGGGCAAUAGAGGGGGCAAUGAGAACAUGUCACGUGGCUGAAUAGGAGUUUCAAAUAAGUAGUUUGUAUAGAUAAUAUAUAAUCUCUCAUUUAAAAAAAUAGGGCUUUUAUUUGUUUAUUGGCACAAUUAUUUAAAAUUUUCAAAUUUAUUCUAAAAUUAUUAGAAUAUUCUUCUAAACCUUAAAUCACAUUAGCAAAUCAUUAUGGUUUGAAAUAUUGGAAGAAACUUUUGAAAGUCAAUAAAAACAUUGUGAUCAAUCAUGGAUAUAUUAGAUAUAUAUUUAAAAUUUUGAAGGACAUAUUAGAUAUUAUUUCUGAAAAAAAAUAAAUAAAAUAAGGAUUCAUUGUGGACUUUUGAAUGAAGAGGUGUAAAAUUUAUACUCCUUUUUGAGUGCAUAGGUAGCAGCGAUCUAAUUG
This 1649-nucleotide long non-coding RNA is filed under the name Ananas comosus (pineapple). RNAcentral describes it as "long non-coding RNA (ACOM_LNC003011)". The record is from RNAcentral. Lineage: Eukaryota; Viridiplantae; Streptophyta; Magnoliopsida; Poales; Bromeliaceae.